RNAcentral lists this ribosomal RNA (250 nucleotides) under uncultured bacterium. Its description in RNAcentral is "partial 16S ribosomal RNA". It matches the Rfam family "Bacterial small subunit ribosomal RNA", at positions 355 to 596 of the family's 1533-position model. The record is from RNAcentral.
UGGGGAAUAUUGGACAAUGGGGGGAACCCUGAUCCAGCCAUGCCGCGUGUGUGAAGAAGGCCUUUUGGUUGUAAAGCACUUUAAGUGGGGAGGAGGCUCUCUUGGUUAAUACCUAAGAAGAGUGGACGUUACCCACAGAAUAAGCACCGGCUAACUCUGUGCCAGCAGCCGCGGUAAUACAGAGGGUGCGAGCGUUAAUCGGAUUUACUGGGCGUAAAGCGCGCGUAGGUGGUUAAUUAAGUCAAAUGUG